AGGAGCCGUGCGAGAUGAAAGUCUCAUGCACGGUUUUGAAUGAGUGAAAGAAGUGAGGAAUCCUCUUUUUGACUUUGA
Molecule: non-coding RNA, 78 nt
Organism: Gossypium arboreum
Lineage: Eukaryota; Viridiplantae; Streptophyta; Magnoliopsida; Malvales; Malvaceae
Source: Rfam